GACGAACGCUGGCGGCGUGCCUAAUACAUGCAAGUAGAACGCUGAAGAGAGGAGCUUGCUCUUCUUGGAUGAGUUGCGAACGGGUGAGUAACGCGUAGGUAACCUGCCUUGUAGCGGGGGAUAACUAUUGGAAACGAUAGCUAAUACCGCAUAACAAUGGAUGACACAUGUCAUUUAUUUGAAAGGGGCAAUUGCUCCACUACAAGAUGGACCUGCGUUGUAUUAGCUAGUAGGUGAGGUAAUGGCUCACCUAGGCGACGAUACAUAGCCGACCUGAGAGGGUGAUCGGCCACACUGGGACUGAGACACGGCCCAGACUCCUACGGGAGGCAGCAGUAGGGAAUCUUCGGCAAUGGGGGCAACCCUGACCGAGCAACGCCGCGUGAGUGAAGAAGGUUUUCGGAUCGUAAAGCUCUGUUGUAAGUCAAGAACGGGUGUGAGAGUGGAAAGUUCACACUGUGACGGUAGCUUACAAGAAAGGGACGGCUAACUACGU
This 496-nucleotide ribosomal RNA is filed under the name uncultured bacterium. Its description in RNAcentral is "partial 16S ribosomal RNA". It matches the Rfam family "Bacterial small subunit ribosomal RNA", at positions 28 to 506 of the family's 1533-position model. The record is from RNAcentral.